CCCUAGCCCCGAUGGGAACGGCAUCCUUUUUUAUUUUUUUGGUUCUAAGCUUCAAUUGGAGAGCAAAACGUGAAAAAAAUAAAAAAGAUAUAGUGGACAGCGGGAUUAAGC
Molecule: small RNA, 111 nt
Filed under: Epilithonimonas hungarica
Lineage: Bacteria; Pseudomonadati; Bacteroidota; Flavobacteriia; Flavobacteriales; Weeksellaceae
Description: Chryseobacterium hungaricum Flavo-1 RNA
Rfam family: Flavo-1 RNA
Source: RNAcentral